CAGCCGCGGUAAUACGUAGGUGGCAAGCGUUGUCCGGAAUUAUUGGCGUAAAGGGCUCGCAGGCGGUUUCUUAAGUCUGAUGUGAAAGCCCCCGGCUCAACCGGGGAGGGUCAUUGGAAACUGGGAAACUUGAGUGCAGAAGAGGAGAGUGGAACUCCACGUGUAGCGGUGAAAUGCGUAGAGAUGUGGAGGAACACCAGUGGCGAAGGCGACUCUCUGGUCUGUAACUGACGCUGAGGAGCGAAAGCGUGGGGAGCGAGCAGGAUUAGAUACCCCAGUAGUCCCUGUCUCUUAUACACAU
Molecule: ribosomal RNA, 301 nt
Filed under: uncultured bacterium
Lineage: Bacteria
Description: partial 16S ribosomal RNA
Rfam family: Bacterial small subunit ribosomal RNA
Source: RNAcentral